AGAUAUCGCCUAAGAAGGUGAAGAACGUGCUGGAUUUCUACCGGAACAUGACGAGAAGAAUUGCAGUUCGAAAACAAUCUUCCAGUUGGAAACACGUUUGUACGCCGCUCACUCCCUGCACCAAAGUCCGUGGAGAAAAUCAGCGAUUUAACCAUAAAGGAGAUUGUUAAUCCCCUGCUGCCUCCACAAUCUAUUUAAAGUCCAGAGAGAGCAGCAGCAGCAGCACUCGAUGCCAUUUAAAGUGACACUUUAAUCACGAGCGGUUAAUGGACCACUAAUGGCAGACUUUGAUGUGGCUGUAAGUCAAGGUGCCCGCACACACGGGCCUCGGCGAGGGACACGUGUUUGCCAUGGUAUGAUCCCUCCAAACAUACUGGUGCGUGACACGCUGUGAUAAGACAUAACUCAGCUCCAAUGAGCGAGUGAAGGAAGAAAACAUACAAGCUCACAGAUAAGAUAAGAUAAGACAGAACCUUAUUAACCCUGAAGGAAAUUCUUGUUCCAGGUUGCUCCAAAAGUACAAAAAUAACAAUAACAAUACAAGAUUUCAUGCAUCAAAAGUGAAAUACAAAAAAAAGAGUGGUAAUGAUGUCAUUCUUUGUCAAACACAAUAAAGCCAAUAAUAUUGAAAUACAAAAAAUAAAUAUUGCACAUGAAAUUGAGAGUCAUUGCACAUGGUAAUGAGCUCUAAUACUGUUACUGAUACUGAUUACUUGUAGUGAUCUCACUCCGAUAAUAAACAUGUUAGCUUUCCUUCCCGCAGAAGGGGGAGGAGUUAUAGACAGGACAGGAAAUGAGAGGAAAGGGUCAUGUGCACUCUGCUCGAGACUAGCAUCAUCAUUUCUCUCAUGUGUAGACAACAUAUAAUAAACA
Molecule: long non-coding RNA, 873 nt
Organism: Solea solea (common sole)
Lineage: Eukaryota; Metazoa; Chordata; Actinopteri; Pleuronectiformes; Soleidae
Exons: 3
Source: RefSeq, a predicted model, not a curated record